AAGCGAACAUCGUCCGGAACUCGGGAUCUCCCUCCUGGAGCUCGGCCUGCUGCGCUCCUCGUAGUGCGGCUAACGCUGGCGGAUCAGCGCCACGCUGCAGCACUCAGUCCCGUUUACACACAACAGUCAACAUAUGAGGCUAGUGUGCUUCUCCAUUGACUGAUGAGCCUUCACCCCGAGGUGAUGAUGACCUGGAGACUGCUCUUUCUGUGUUAUCUGAGCUGGAA
This is a long non-coding RNA of Silurus meridionalis, 227 nucleotides long. RefSeq lists it as uncharacterized. NCBI's taxonomy places the organism in Eukaryota, Metazoa, Chordata, Actinopteri, Siluriformes, Siluridae. The transcript is spliced from 2 exons. The record is from RefSeq and is a predicted model, not a curated record.